Molecule: long non-coding RNA, 1014 nt
Organism: Lolium rigidum
Lineage: Eukaryota; Viridiplantae; Streptophyta; Magnoliopsida; Poales; Poaceae
Exons: 2
Source: RefSeq, a predicted model, not a curated record
GCAUUUUUGUUUUUAUUUUUUUAACAUUUGGAAAUAUGUUUAAUAUGCAUUUCAAAUAAAGGGUGCAUAUGCACCCGGGUGCAGAAACACCCUGUCCGUAGGACACUGUGUAUUUUUACUUAUUAAUAUCUCCUAGAUGCCCUGCUCUUAUUUUACUUAGUGUUAUUUGAAAGUUCACCCAACAUGAUUUAUUGAUAUAACUCUUCACAAUACUCGGUGUAUUGUUGAUUGAUAGUGCUAUGUUUUUUUCAUACUCACAGCUAAUUGGACUUUUAGAUGUUCAUCGUGUCGUAUCUUUGCUUACUAGCGGUUAACUAUUUCUGUAUAACUCCGAUGUUACAUCAUGUUAUUGCUAUGUGAUUUCCGAACCUGACUGAAAUGCACUGGUAGGGCAGUUUUGUUGUGCAUGUUCCUUAAACUGGGAACUAGCCCAGCUUAGCCUAAUGAUCGAAAAGCGCUACCGCUGAUUCCUGGUACAUCAGUAAAAGGUCCUCUUUGGAAUUUCAUAGCCCGAUCACCACUGUUUAAUUGUAGCACGGGUGAAUAUGAUAUUGUUUUUCAUUGGGUCACUACUUCAUUUGAGCAGGACAAUGUUACUACCAUAUUAAGAUACACUCUGUUUAUACAUUGGGUCACUACUUCGAGCAUGAAAAUUUGUAGCUUGUCCAAUUCUGCAUCGUCCUCCAUAGAAAAUGGUACGCCAAAACUAUCAGCAUGAGUAGCUCCGUGCCUCUGUAGAGUGUACUCUUGAAAGAAGCAGUCCUAAUGCAAGAGAAAGAGUCCUAAUGCAAGAGAAAGAAAGCAACUGAGGGAACUUAUCUUGGAGGAUAUAAAUCAUCGAACCAAACAUCCUUCCACAAAGAACUGUGUCACCUGGAUUUUUUGUGCAUGUUGUAACUCUGUAAAUAUCAAACAUUAGCUACUUAAUUGACUCAGUUAGCUGAGUUUUUGUUAGACCUUGUACUAUCCAAAUAUGUUCAGGUUCGUUCAGAAAAAAAUGUUCAGGCUUGUUAA